This 323-nucleotide ribosomal RNA is filed under the name uncultured eukaryote. Its description in RNAcentral is "partial 18S ribosomal RNA". It matches the Rfam family "Eukaryotic small subunit ribosomal RNA", at positions 1470 to 1796 of the family's 1831-position model. The record is from RNAcentral.
CCCUUAAGUGCUCUGGGCUGCGCGCGCUACGCUGAAGCGCUCAACGGAUGUUCACCUUGCCCGGGAGGGUUGGGUAAUCUUUUGGCAACGCUUCGGAAUGAGGAUGGGAUAUUGCAAAUAUCAAUCCUCGACCAGGAAUCCCUAGUACACGCGGGUCAUCAACUUGUGCUGAUUACGUCCCUGCCUUUUGUACACGCCGCCGGUCGCUCCUACCGAUUGAGUGAUCCGGUGGAUAAUUCGGACUGCAGCGCUGCUUGGUCUCCCAGCUUUGCUGCGGAGAACUCAGUGAACCUUAUCACUUAGAGGAAAGACAAGUCGUAACA